UCAGCCCUCUUUUUAAACACGGGAUAUUCCCGGCCUGUUCACUGUAAGGAGCCCAUCAUGGCACUUAGCGUUGAAGAAAAAGCCCAGAUCGUUAACGAGUACAAGCAAGCUGAA
This 114-nucleotide non-coding RNA is filed under the name Pseudomonas saudiphocaensis. RNAcentral describes it as "S15". It matches the Rfam family "Ribosomal S15 leader". Rfam says of the family: The E. coli Ribosomal S15 gene 5' UTR can form two alternative structures. Lineage: Bacteria; Pseudomonadati; Pseudomonadota; Gammaproteobacteria; Pseudomonadales; Pseudomonadaceae. The record is from RNAcentral.